AUACUUACCUGGCAGGGAAGAUACCAUGAUCACAAAGGUGGUUUUCCCAGGGCGAGGCUUAUCCAUUGCCCUCUGGAUGUGCUGACCCCUGCGAUUUCCCCAAAUGUGGGAAACUCGACUGCACAAUUUGUGGUAGUGGGGGACUGUGUUCGCGCUUUCCCCUG
Small nuclear RNA from Pan troglodytes (chimpanzee), 164 nucleotides. Its record names the gene U1. It matches the Rfam family "U1 spliceosomal RNA". From Rfam's summary of the family: U1 is a small nuclear RNA (snRNA) component of the spliceosome (involved in pre-mRNA splicing). Its 5' end forms complementary base pairs with the 5' splice junction, thus defining the 5' donor site of an intron. There are significant differences in sequence and secondary structure between metazoan and yeast U1 snRNAs, the latter being much longer (568 nucleotides as compared to 164 nucleotides in human). The record is from Ensembl. Lineage: Eukaryota; Metazoa; Chordata; Mammalia; Primates; Hominidae.